AGCAGCCGCGGUAAUUCCAGCUCCAAUAGCGUAUAUUAAAGUUGUUGCAGUUAAAAAGCUCGUAGUUGAAUUUCGGGACCAAUCUGCCGGUCGUGCCUCUGGUACGCACUGGUUUUAUUGGUUUCUCCCUUCUGACGAACCAUGAUGUCAUUAAUUUGGUGUCACGGGGAAUCAGGACUGUUACUUUGAAAAAAUUAGAGUGUUUAUAGCAGGCUCACGCUUGAAUACAUUAGCAUGGAAUAAUGAAAUAGGACGUUUGACCCUAUUUUGUUGGUUUCUAGGAUCGACGUAAUGAUUAAUAGGGAUAGUUGGGGGCAUUAGUAUUCAAUUGUCAGAGGUGAAAUUCUUGGAUUUAUUGAAGACUAACUACUGCGAAAGCAUUUGCCAAGGAUGUUUUCAUUAAUCAAGAACGAAAGUUAGGAGAUCGAAGACGAUCAGAUACCGUCGUAGUCUUAACCAUAAACUAUGCCGACUAGGGAUCGGAUGAUGUUAAUUUUUUAAUGACUCAUUCGGCGCCUUA
Molecule: ribosomal RNA, 520 nt
Filed under: uncultured Glomus
Lineage: Eukaryota; Fungi; Glomeromycota; Glomeromycetes; Glomerales; Glomeraceae
Description: SSU rRNA
Rfam family: Eukaryotic small subunit ribosomal RNA
Source: RNAcentral